RNAcentral lists this ribosomal RNA (253 nucleotides) under uncultured bacterium. Its description in RNAcentral is "partial 16S ribosomal RNA". It matches the Rfam family "Bacterial small subunit ribosomal RNA", at positions 524 to 776 of the family's 1533-position model. The record is from RNAcentral.
UACGAAGGGUGCUAGCGUUGUUCGGAAUCACUGGGCGUAAAGCGCGCGUAGGCGGCUUGUCAAGUCAGGGGUGAAAUCCCGCAGCUUAACUGCGGAACUGCCUUUGAAACUGUCAAGCUGGAGUGUCGGAGGGGAUAGCGGAAUUGCUAAUGUAGAGGUGAAAUUCGUAGAUAUUAGCAGGAACACCGGUGGCGAAGGCGGCUAUCUGGCCGACAACUGACGCUGAGGCGCGAAAGCGCGGGGAUCAAACAGG